UUAGGGACGUGACUUAGUGGUAGAGUAUUUGCCUGACAUGCACAAGGCCCUGGGUUCAAUCUCCAGAUUGAAAAA
RNAcentral lists this transfer RNA (75 nucleotides) under Marmota monax (woodchuck). Its description in RNAcentral is "tRNA.Val". The stretch from base 10 to 66 matches the Rfam family "tRNA", at positions 8 to 63 of the family's 71-position model. From Rfam's summary of the family: Transfer RNA (tRNA) molecules are approximately 80 nucleotides in length. Their secondary structure includes four short double-helical elements and three loops (D, anti-codon, and T loops). Further hydrogen bonds mediate the characteristic L-shaped molecular structure. tRNAs have two regions of fundamental functional importance: the anti-codon, which is responsible for specific mRNA codon recognition, and the 3' end, to which the tRNAs corresponding amino acid is attached (by aminoacyl-tRNA synthetases). tRNAs cope with the degeneracy of the genetic code in two manners: having more than one tRNA (with a specific anti-codon) for a particular amino acid; and 'wobble' base-pairing, i.e. permitting non-standard base-pairing at the 3rd anti-codon position. The record is from RNAcentral. Lineage: Eukaryota; Metazoa; Chordata; Mammalia; Rodentia; Sciuridae.